RNAcentral lists this ribosomal RNA (424 nucleotides) under Fusobacteriota bacterium. Its description in RNAcentral is "Fusobacteria bacterium partial 16S ribosomal RNA". It matches the Rfam family "Bacterial small subunit ribosomal RNA", at positions 355 to 776 of the family's 1533-position model. Lineage: Bacteria; Fusobacteriati; Fusobacteriota. The record is from RNAcentral.
UGAGGAAUAUUUGUCAAAGGGCGAGAGCCUUAACCAGCCCAGUAACGUGCAGAAUUCCGGCCCUAUGGGUUGACAAAUGCUUUUAUGUGGGGAUAAACUGCGUGAACUGUACUACCGGGCAGGUACCACAUGAAUAAGACCCGGCUACUUACGUGCCAGCAGCCGCGGUAAUACGGAAGGUCCGGGCGUUAUCCGGAUUUAUUGGGUUUACAGGGAGCGUAGGCUGUCUAUUAAGCGUGUUGUGAAAUUUACCGGCUCAACCGGUGGCUUGCAGCGCGAACUGGUCGACUUGAGUAUGCAGGAAGUAGGCGGAAUUCAUGGUGUAGCGGUGAAAUGCUUAGAUAUCAUGACGAACUCCGAUUGCGCAGGCAGCUUACUGUAGCAUAACUGACGCUGAUGCUCGAAAGUGCGGGUAUCAAACAGG